AAAGCUAAAUGCGCGGAUCUUCAGAGAUUAGAGUUUGAUCAUGGCUCAGAUUAAACGCUGGCGGCAUGCCUUACACAUGCAAGUCGAACGGCAGCAUGGGUGCUUGCACCUGAUGGCGAGUGGCGGACGGGUGAGUAAUACAUCGGAACGUGCCCUGAAGUGGGGGAUAACGCAGCGAAAGCUACGCUAAUACCGCAUAUUCUGUGAGCAGGAAAGCAGGGGAUCGCAAGACCUUGCGCUUUGGGAGCGGCCGAUGUCGGAUUAGCUAGUUGGUGGGGUAAUGGCCUACCAAGGCGACGAUCCGUAGCGGGUCUGAGAGGAUGAUCCGCCACACUGGGACUGAGACACGGCCCAGACUCCUACGGGAGGCAGCAGUGGGGAAUUUUGGACAAUGGGCGGAAGCCUGAUCCAGCCAUGCCGCGUGAGUGAAGAAGGCCUUCGGGUUGUAAAGCUCUUUCGGCGGGGAAGAAAUUGCUUGGGUUAAUACCCUGAGUAGGUGACGGUACCCGAAUAAGAAGCACCGGCUAACUACGUGCCAGCAGCCGCGGUAAUACGUAAGGUGCGAGCGUUAAUCGGAAUUACUGGGCGUAAAGCGUGCGCAGGCGGUUUUGUAAGUCAGAUGUGAAAUCCCCGGGCUCAACCUGGGAACUGCAUUUGAGACUGCAAGACUGGAGUUUGGCAGAGGGGGGUGGAAUUCCACGUGUAGCAGUGAAAUGCGUAGAGAUGUGGAGGAACACCGAUGGCGAAGGCAGCCCCCUGGGCCAAUACUGACGCUCAUGCACGAAAGCGUGGGGAGCAAACAGGAUUAGAUACCCCGGUAGUCCACGCCCUAAACGAUGUCAACUAGGUGUUGGGAGGGUUAAACCUUUUAGUGCCGUAGCUAACGCGUGAAGUUGACCGCCUGGGGAGUACGGCCGCAAGGCUAAAACUCAAAGGAAUUGACGGGGACCCGCACAAGCGGUGGAUGAUGUGGAUUAAUUCGAUGCAACGCGAAAAACCUUACCUACCCUUGACAUGUCAGGAAUCCUGGAGAGAUUUGG
RNAcentral lists this ribosomal RNA (1040 nucleotides) under uncultured bacterium. RNAcentral's name for it is "bacterial SSU rRNA". It matches the Rfam family "Bacterial small subunit ribosomal RNA", at positions 1 to 1011 of the family's 1533-position model. The record is from RNAcentral.